CAGCGACAACCUUUUUUUACCAAAUUAUCUCCUCUCCACUGCUACACUCCACUCCACUAGCUCGCCAUUUGAGAAGCUUCGAGCUCACACAGAUCCCAGUUACUAGUGGUACUGGAGUACCUCACUCUCACCACACUCCCUUCGUCCCUUUCUCCUCUCUCACCAACUCAAAGCUCUCGCCGAAUCCCACCCAAAGAUCCAAACCCUUUUCCAUCCAAGAACGCGAGAAUCCACCCACCCACCCCGCCGACGCCCGGCGAUGGGCGCCUUCGCGGCGGCGCUGCUGGCCCUCCUGCUGGCCGCGAUGGCCGCGCCCCCGGCGGAGGCGGCGGUCGGGGUGAACUGGGGCACCCUGUCGUCCCACCGCGUCCCGCCGCCGGUGGUGGUGGACCUGCUCCGCGCCAACCGGAUCGGGAAGGUCAAGCUCUUCGACGCCGACCCGGCCGUGCUGCGCGCGCUCGCCGGCAGCGGCCUCCAGGUCAUGGUCGGCGUCACCAACGCCGAGCUCGCCGCCGUCGCGGGAUCCCCCGCCGCCGCCGACGCCUGGGUCGCGCAGAACGUCUCGCGCUACGUCGGCCGCGGCGGCGUCGACAUCCGAUACAUUGCCGUGGGAAAUGAGCCGUUCUUGACGAGCUACCAGGGUCAAUUCCAGUCAUAUGUUAUUCCAGCAAUGACAAACAUUCAGCAAUCGCUGGUGAAGGCUAAUCUUGCUAGCUAUGUGAAGCUUGUUGUCCCAUGCAAUGCUGAUGCUUAUCAGAGUGCUUCUCUCCCAUCACAAGGAGUUUUUAGGACUGAACUGACUCAGAUAAUGACCCAGCUCGCCGCUUUUCUCAGUUCUAGUGGAGCGCCAUUUGUGGUCAAUAUAUACCCUUUUCUCAGUCUUUAUCAGAGCUCUGACUUUCCACAAGAUUAUGCCUUCUUCGAGGGAUCUACUCACCCGGUUGUAGAUGGUCCUAACACAUACUACAAUGCUUUUGAUGGCAACUUUGACACAUUAGUUGCUGCGCUGGGUAAAAUUGGAUAUGGACAGCUACCGAUUGCAAUUGGUGAAGUUGGCUGGCCAACUGAAGGAGCACCGAGUGCAAACUUAACUGCAGCAAGGGCAUUCAACCAAGGUCUUAUGAAUCGUGUUAUGAACAACAAAGGAACUCCGCUUCGUCCUGGUGUACCUCCAGCUGAUGUCUAUCUUUUCAGCCUUUUUGAUGAAGAGCAAAAGAGCAUACUACCUGGAAACUUUGAGAGACACUGGGGGAUCUUCUCAUUUGAUGGACAAGCCAAGUACCCAUUGAAUCUUGGUUUAGGGAAUCCGGUACUUAAGAAUGCUAGAGAGGUGCCAUAUCUUCCAUCACGGUGGUGCAUCGCAAACCCUGCCCAGAAUCUUGAUAAUGUUGCAAAUCACUUAAAGCUUGCUUGCUCUAUGGCUGAUUGUACCACACUCGACUAUGGAGGUUCCUGCUAUGGCAUUGGAGAGAAGGCCAACGUUUCUUAUGCUUUCAACAGCUACUAUCAGCAACAGAAGCAGGAUGCUAAGAGUUGCGAUUUCGAUGGGAAUGGGAUGAUAACUUACCUUGAUCCAUCCAUGGGCGAGUGUCGCUUUCUUGUUGGAAUUGAUGAUAGUAAAAGCUCUGCAGUUUCCUCCUGUGGCUGCGGUUGUGGGGUUUGUUGUGGGGUGUGGGUUCUAUUUUUCUGGGUGUUCAUGUACCUUAGAAUGAUGGGUUCUGUCUGACGUCGAAAAUGAUCUGUUAGGACACAUCGGCAUACUUUCUGUGGCCUUGUGUUAUAGAAGCGCGACGAUGGCGGUGGAGUAGGAGGGCAGCAGUUUUCGCCACAGUAGGCAUGGCCACAGGUCACCUUUGGAUGCUGCACCAGCCAGCAGCACCUGCAAGCUGAAAAGAAAUGUUUCCAAGAUGAAGCUCAUAAAAUGGACAUGACAUGAUGCUAACAUGCCAACAGCAGAGGAGCAUGACUCUCUACUGCCAGCUUGCAAUAUUACCACAAAAGAAUCAAACUUCCAAUGAAGAGAGCAUCUAACUGACAUUAUGAUUGACAUGUUUAUAUUUCUGGAACACUUAUAGAAAAAAAAUCCAAUAGAUGAAUAAACAGGAAAUUUCCUAAUAUAUGACAUACGCAGCGAUGCAGUGGCGGUGGUGAUGAAGAGUGCAAGCAGCAUGAGCCAGGACACAAGGGCAAGAACAGUGUUCCUCCUCAUGUUUCUUUCUUGUUCUCUCCUCUCUUGAUGCUUCAGAAUGCAGAGCUUUCAGGAGAUCUCUAAGCAAAUAUGGCAGUGAUCUGCGGUGUAUAUAUAUUGUAAAGGAUGACCGAGUUAGCAUUUGUAAGUGAUGUGCCAUACCUGAAAUUUGUUGAUAA
Molecule: RNA transcript, 2367 nt
Organism: Oryza sativa Japonica Group (Japanese rice)
Lineage: Eukaryota; Viridiplantae; Streptophyta; Magnoliopsida; Poales; Poaceae
Gene name: glucan endo-1,3-beta-glucosidase 5
Source: RefSeq, a predicted model, not a curated record